CGUGGAUGAGGCAUGCAAGUCGAACGGUUGCAGGAUGAUAGCAAUAUUUUUCUGCAAUAGUGGCGGAAGGGCGAGUAAUGCAAGAGCAAGCUACCCCCCGGUUCGGAACAACGUCUGGAAACGGACGCUAAUACCGGAUCCGAAGCGCGGACAGAUGUCCGUGUCUUGAAAGGCGGGGCCCCGCGAGGGCCUGUCGCCGGGGGAGGCGCUCCUGUGCCAUCAGCUAGUUGGUGAGGUAACGGCCCACCAAGGCUUACGGCUAGGUGGACUGAGAGGUUGGUCACCCGCACUGGGACUGAGACACUGCCCAGACUCCUACGGGAGGCCGCAGUCGAGGGUCAUUCGCAAUGGGGGAAACCCUGACGAUGCGACGCUGCGUGGAGGAUGAAGGCCCUCGGGUCGUAAACUCCUGUCAUGUGGGACAAGAUGGCAUCCGCUAACACCGGCGUGCCUUUGAUGGUACCACAAGAGGAAGCCACGGCUAACUCUGUGCCAGCAGCCGCGGUAAUACAGAGGUGGCGAGCGUUGUUCGGAUUUACUGGGCGUAAAGCGUGCGUAGGCGGUCGCGUGUGUCGGAUGUGAAAUCCCGGGGCUCACCCCCGGAAGUGCAUCCGAAACUGCGCGGCUUGAGGCCGGGAUGGGUGACUGGGACACAUGGUGUAGCGGUGAAAUGCGUUGAUAUCAUGUGGAACACCGGAGGCGAAGGCGAGUCACUGGAACGGAUCUGACGCUGAGGCACGAAAGCGUGGGUAGCACACAAAGAGGUAGAUAUCCCUGGUAGUCCACGCCGUAAACGUUGCACAUUUGCCGUGGGGGGAAUUGACCCCCCCCGUGGCGGAGCUAACGCGUUAAAUGUGCCGCCUGGGGAGUACGGCCGCAAGGUUAAAACUCAAAGAAAUUGACGGGGGCCCGCACAAGCGGAGGAGCAUGUGGCUUAAUUCGAUGCAACGCGAAGAACCUUACCUAGGCUUGACAUGUGACUGCACGCCCUGUGAAAGCAGGGCUCCUUCGAGGGUGUCACACAGGUGCUGCAUGGCUGUCGUCAGUUCGUGCCGUGAGGUGUUUGGUUAAGUCCACCAACGAACGCAACCCCUGCGUCCAUUUGCCAACGGGUAAUGCCGGGAACUAUGGACGGACUGCCCCUUCAAACGGGAGGAAGGUGGGGAUGACGUCAAGUCAGUAUGGCCCUUACGCCUAGGGCUGCACACGUGCUACAAUGGCCGGUACAGAAGGAUGCAAGACCGCGAGGUGGAGCAAAACCCCAAAACCGGCCCCAGUUCAGAUUGGAGUCUGCAAUUCGACUCCAUGAAGUUGGAUUCGCUAGUAACGGCGCAUCAGCAUUCGGCGCCGUGAAUACGUUCCCGGGCCUUGCACUCACCGCCCGUCA
Molecule: ribosomal RNA, 1387 nt
Filed under: uncultured bacterium
Lineage: Bacteria
Description: bacterial SSU rRNA
Rfam family: Bacterial small subunit ribosomal RNA
Source: RNAcentral